This 592-nucleotide long non-coding RNA is filed under the name Cyanistes caeruleus (blue tit). RNAcentral's name for it is "lncRNA (ENSCCEG00000003496.1)". The record is from RNAcentral. Lineage: Eukaryota; Metazoa; Chordata; Aves; Passeriformes; Paridae.
UUGUUAUCAGAACAGUGGUCCCUUUUCUUCUCUAAUAGAAAAUACACAGGAGGAAUAUUAUCUAUUUUGCUCUCUUACUUGUGUUGGGAUAUGUAUGUCUUCUUGGAACAGCUUCUUUUCCAUUGCUCACUCAUAAAAAAACCCCAAAAAUCUGGAUUGUUACAGCUAUAUGAUUACCAAGGUUUAACAGUUAUCACUUCUGUCUCAAAGGUCCUGAGUGUGUACUGUGGUACUGUGUACCUUUGCUACUCUGAGCAGUUCUGGCUGAGAAUUUCUGGAUGCAUCAUGAUGGAAUGCAAGCAGUGGAAGCAUAUCAUUUCUCUUCAGAUAAAUCGUUCCUCAACUUCAAACUCCACUGCUUCCUCACUGCAACUAAAAGCUUAGAAGAGGUAAUCAGCUUGUGGUUUCAAGUGUUGCAUUUUUGGGGUAAUUUCACUUCUCUCUGUUUCAGUGCAGGUCAUUCAAUGGACAUUUCUUGUAAGUUUUUUAUCAUGGUGUUUCUAGUGCUCUAUGCAGCCCCUCACCAAUUUAACUUUAUUAGGAGGAUUUUGAAGGCAAAAUAAAGACACAUGCAGUGAACUUUUUAUGUUCA